GUGGGGAAUAUUGGGCAAUGGGCGCAAGCCUGACCCAGCAACGCCGCGUGAAGGAAGAAGGCUUUCGGGUUGUAAACUUCUUUUACCAGGGACGAAAAAAAUGACGGUACCUGGAGAAUAAGCCACGGCUAACUACGUGCCAGCAGCCGCGGUAAUACGUAGGUGGCAAGCGUUGUCCGGAUUUACUGGGUGUAAAGGGCGCGUAGGCGGGAGAGCAAGUCAGGAGUGAAAUCUAUGGGCUUAACCCAUAAAUUGCUUUUGAAACUGUUUUUCUUGAGUGAUGGAGAGGCAAGCGGAAUUCCUAGUGUAGCGGUGAAAUGCGUAGAUAUUAGGAGGAACACCAGUGGCGAAGGCGGCUUGCUGGACAUUAACUGACGCUGAUGCGCGAAAGCGUGGGGAGCAAACAGGAUUAGAUACCCGAGUAGUCC
This 428-nucleotide ribosomal RNA is filed under the name uncultured bacterium. Its description in RNAcentral is "partial 16S ribosomal RNA". It matches the Rfam family "Bacterial small subunit ribosomal RNA", at positions 354 to 796 of the family's 1533-position model. The record is from RNAcentral.